RNAcentral lists this ribosomal RNA (443 nucleotides) under uncultured bacterium. Its description in RNAcentral is "bacterial SSU rRNA". It matches the Rfam family "Bacterial small subunit ribosomal RNA", at positions 954 to 1396 of the family's 1533-position model. The record is from RNAcentral.
GAUUAACGCGAAGAACCUUACCUGGGUUUGACAUCCUCUGACAUCCGUAGAGAUACGGCUUUCGUAGCAAUACGACAGAGUGACAGGUGCUGCAUGGCUGUCGUCAGCUCGUGUGGUGACAUGUUGGGUUAAGUCCCGCAACGAGCGCAACCCUUGUCCUUAGUUGCCAGCAUUCAGUUGGGCUCUCUAAGGAGACUGCCGUGGUGAACACGGAGGAAGGUGGGGAUGACGUCAAGUCCUCAUGGCCUUUAUAUCCAGGGCGACACACGUGAUACAAUGGUCGGUACAGAGGGAAGCGAAACCGCGAGGUGGAGCCAAUCUCAAAAAGCCGAUCUCAGUUCGGAUUGGAGUCUGCAACUCGACUCCAUGAAGUUGGAAUCGCUAGUAAUCGCGGAUCAGCACGCCGCGGUGAAUACGUUCCCGGGCCUUGUACACACCGAAUC